This 279-nucleotide ribosomal RNA is filed under the name uncultured bacterium. RNAcentral's name for it is "partial 16S ribosomal RNA". It matches the Rfam family "Bacterial small subunit ribosomal RNA", at positions 506 to 784 of the family's 1533-position model. The record is from RNAcentral.
UGCCAGCCGCCGCGGUAAUACGGAGGGUGCAAGCGUUGUUCGGAAUUAUUGGGCGUAAAGCGCGUGUAGGCGGUUCGUUAAGUCUGAUGUGAAAGCCCGGGGCUUAACCUGGGAAUGGCAUUCGAUACUGCGCGGCUAGAGUCUGAUAGAGGGAAGUGGAAUUCCAGGUGUAGCGGUGAAAUGCGUAGAUAUCGGAAGGAACACCAGUGGCGAAGGCGACUUCCUGGGCCAAUACUGACGCUGAGGUGCGAAAGCGUGGGGAGCAAACAGGAUUAGAUA